GUGCAAGUAACUAAUCAAUCAUCCAUGCAUCUUUUUUCCCUAAUACGCGGCGUAAGGCUGGCUGUCUGUCUGUCUGUCUGUCUGUCUGUCUGUCUUAUUAUUUUUUCAAAAAAUUGUCCCGGGACGGAAUACCUGUUUUGAAGAAGAGAACCUGGCAGAUGUUUAUUUAUUUAUCUAUUUAUUUAUUUCCCUAUUUCCCUUAUUUUAUUGUUUUUCCUAAUCCCUGAUUCGGCACAUUAAGAGGAACCUUGGAAUCUUGGACGAAGGUAGCCCUACCGCCACCAAGUUUAGUUUCAACCCUGUGCCUAAUUUUGGAGGGGAUAUCUCGCAUAGUAUUUAUCGCGUUGACGCACUAGGGUUCUCUCAGCGUUGCCGCGCGUUGUUGAAAUAUCAUCCCGCACCACACAACAUAUAUAUAUCGAAGGAAGGUUAUAUAUUCCUUUUUUGCCGUUCGAAGGAAUAACAAGAAAGAACAAGAAGGUUUAUCUUUUCAGCUUAACUGGAGAGAACUGUUCGACCUCUCAGGUACAUACAUAAAUGGAAAGUUAUGCGCCUCGCAUCAUCGACGGCGAUCAGUGCAUCGCAUCGCAUCGCAUCGGCCCUAUCGAAAACUGAACC
RNAcentral lists this small RNA (618 nucleotides) under Histoplasma capsulatum var. duboisii H88. RNAcentral describes it as "Histoplasma capsulatum H88 hypothetical RNA". The record is from RNAcentral. Lineage: Eukaryota; Fungi; Ascomycota; Eurotiomycetes; Onygenales; Ajellomycetaceae.